RNAcentral lists this long non-coding RNA (1306 nucleotides) under Marmota monax (woodchuck). The record is from RNAcentral. Lineage: Eukaryota; Metazoa; Chordata; Mammalia; Rodentia; Sciuridae.
GCCUGCACACGGGGGUUCCCAUCUACCUGCCCUCCCCUGGGAGGCCCCUGGCCAGGACGGGUCUCCAGUCUGUGUCCCUCCUGCCUCCUUGCCCUGGUGGCCUCUUCUAGCUCACUGCCUGGACUGGCCUGUCUCCUGUCACCAGGGGCAUAUUCCACCCCCUUGGCCCCUGCCACCUAGUUUGGCAUUUUCUUCUUUUCCCCUGUGUCUUUUAGCCCUGUGUCUUUACCCUCCAGAAGUGAUGUGGAGGGGAGAUUGGGGAGUUCUGGUUUAGCCCUGCUCAGCUUGGCAUGUUCCUUGGCUCAGGCCCUGAGAGGAUGCAAAGCAGGGUUGUCUCCUUGAGGUGGGGUCAGUGCCGGUGCUGGGAGGAGGUAAUAGGUUUGGCGUGGCUCCAUGGUGUAGUGUCCUGGGGACACCAGGGCUGGAGGGGGAAGGACAUUCCUGAGGAGGACCUCUCAUCCCCUAGGUGGCAAUGGAUCUCUCUGUACGUGGUUCUGCUGGUCCCUGGCCUCUCCGUUUGGGCAGCUUCUAGAGGCUUCUGGAGUGUGGGAUACCUUCCCUACCCCACCCCUGCCAUUGAUCACAGUAGGAGUAGUAGCAGGGCUGGGCUGAGGUUCUGGUUUUAUCCAAUAGUUUCCUGCCAGCCUCUAGGGUGGUAUCUUCUUGGGACUGGUGAACUGGAGCCUAGUGAGCAGUCCCACCCCAGGUGGAAAUGAAUAAAAGAAUGAAGUGCUGUUGUCUUCCCUUUGUUCCCUUGGCACUGGGGAGUGUCUCAUUUUAUUGAGAGCCACAGGCUCUGACCCCUGGUACUCUCCUCAUGCAGGGGACACUGGUGUCAGCCUCGCCCAGCAAGCGUCUUCCUUGCUUGUUUCUGGCUCUGUUGUUUCUUGUAGUUAGGCAAACCUUGGACAUCUUUGCCUUUCCUGUUGCAUCCCCUGUUCUUGUCCAUGUGUCUGGGGUAGAGGUUCCUCCUUAGGAGUACAAUUUUGGUCUUGUCCUGCUUCGGUGCUCCCCCAGGUAUCCUUCCCCAUCCUCCUGUUCCAGUCACCGUCUCCCCCAUCAACUAUUAAGACUCUUUCCUGGCCCAGCAGGUGCUAGCAUGAAGGUAAGAUAUCUCUCUGGGCAAGCAGCACUGCCAUAGGUUGCACCCACAUGCUAGCAAAUGGUAAGAGUUUAGACUGGACAGCAGCUAGCACAGCCUCUCACUGAGGCCAUGGAUAGGUGCUGUCCCCUUCUGUGUCCCAACAUCUGCUGGAUCCCUAUGGAAGUGGAGAGCAGUGGAAUGAGUGAAGACACUGAAAUUUUC